This 496-nucleotide ribosomal RNA is filed under the name uncultured bacterium. RNAcentral's name for it is "partial 16S ribosomal RNA". It matches the Rfam family "Bacterial small subunit ribosomal RNA", at positions 28 to 507 of the family's 1533-position model. The record is from RNAcentral.
GACGAACACUGGCGGCGUGCCUAAUACAUGCAAGUUGAGCGCUGAAGGUUGGUACUUGUACCGACUGGAUGAGCAGCGAACGGGUGAGUAACGCGUGGGGAAUCUGCCUUUGAGCGGGGGACAACAUUUGGAAACGAAUGCUAAUACCGCAUAAAACUUUUAACACAAGUUUUAAGGUUGAAAGAAUCAAUUUCAUUACUCAAAGAUGAUCCCGCGUUGUAUUAGCUAGUUGGUGAGGUAAAGGCUCACCAAGGCGAUGAUACAUAGCCGACCUGAGAGGGUGAUCGGCCACAUUGGGACUGAGACACGGCCCAAACUCCUACGGGAGGCAGCAGUAGGGAAUCUUCGGCAAUGGACGAAAGUCUGACCGAGCAACGCCGCGUGAGUGAAGAAGGUUUUCGGAUCGUAAAACUCUGUUGGUAGAGAAGAACGUUGGUGAGAGUGGAAAGCUCAUCAAGUGACGGUAACUACCCAGAAAGGGACGGCUAACUACGUG